CASACCUCUAAUCGGAAAAGACCACCCGCUGAGUUUAA
RNAcentral lists this ribosomal RNA (38 nucleotides) under Gollania ruginosa. Its description in RNAcentral is "partial 25S ribosomal RNA". The record is from RNAcentral. Lineage: Eukaryota; Viridiplantae; Streptophyta; Bryopsida; Hypnales; Pylaisiaceae.